Molecule: ribosomal RNA, 433 nt
Filed under: uncultured bacterium
Lineage: Bacteria
Description: partial 16S ribosomal RNA
Rfam family: Bacterial small subunit ribosomal RNA
Source: RNAcentral
AACGAACGCUGGCGGCAUGCCUAACACAUGCAAGUCGAACGAGACCUUCGGGUCUAGUGGCGCACGGGUGCGUAACGCGUGGGAACCUGCCCUUAGGUUCGGAAUAACUCCCCGAAAGGGGUGCUAAUACCGGAUAAUGUCUUCGGACCAAAGAUUUAUCGCCUUUGGAUGGGCCCGCGUUGGAUUAGCUAGUUGGUAGGGUAAAAGCCUACCAAGGCGACGAUCCAUAGCUGGUCUGAGAGGAUGAUCAGCCACACUGGGACUGGGACACGGCCCAGACUCCUACGGGAGGCAGCAGUAGGGAAUAUUGGACAAUGGGCGAAAGCCUGAUCCAGCAAUGCCGCGUGAGUGAUGAAGGCCUUAGGGUUGUAAAGCUCUUUUACCCGGGAUGAUAAUGACAGUACCGGGAGAAUAAGCUCCGGCUAACUCCGUG